UCCUCAACAUAGAAACACACAAACUUGAAGGAUUCUCUUGUGAGGGCUUAUGGAAAUGAUCUAUGUCUACUCUUAGAAUGGUGAAAGACUUUCAGAUUAUGCAAAGACUAACAGAAUAUCCUCUCUUGGAACACUGAAACAAGAAAACCAAACUUAAGAAGAUGGAGGAUUUAAGAAGAACAUAGAUAAAUAUGAUUUCCAACCAAUUUAACCAAUACGGUCAUAGACUGUGGUUUACAGGAUGACAAAGAAAGGACUCAGGAUUGUACCUUUCACUGUCAGACACUGACUAUGGAUAAAGUGUAAUCAUUUAUCAGACUGAGAUCUAGUCAAAUCAAGUAUUGAAAAUAUGAUUUUCUGAUAGCAUGAGCUCUUUAAAAACUAAUUCUCAAUGACCUCAAAGUAUCUGAAAGUGACUUUUAUUUUUACCAAUUCAUAUUGAAGACUGUUGUUAUGUAUGGGAAUUACACAUUUAAACCUUUUAUUUUUCAUCUAAUUUUUACAACCACCUAGAAAUUAACGCAGAUAUCCAGAUGCUGGAUUUAAUGUUAUUAUUUAACUUUCCUGGAAUUGUAAAUAUAUUUUGUUUGUGUAUGUAUCAUGUUUAAUUUUGAAUUUAAAUUGGGUCUCAAUAAGACCCCCAAUAAAGAUGCAAGUGUCCCAUAA
Molecule: long non-coding RNA, 666 nt
Organism: Saccostrea cuccullata (small rock oyster)
Lineage: Eukaryota; Metazoa; Mollusca; Bivalvia; Ostreida; Ostreidae
Exons: 2
Source: RefSeq, a predicted model, not a curated record